AUUGAACGCUGGCGGCAGGCCUAACACAUGCAAGUCGAGCGGAUGAAGGGAGCUUGCUCCUGGAUUCAGCGGCGGACGGGUGAGUAAUGCCUAGGAAUCUGCCUGGUAGUGGGGGAUAACGUCCGGAAACGGGCGCUAAUACCGCAUACGUCCUGAGGGAGAAAGUGGGGGAUCUUCGGACCUCACGCUAUCAGAUGAGCCUAGGUCGGAUUAGCUAGUUGGUGGGGUAAAGGCCUACCAAGGCGACGAUCCGUAACUGUCUGAGAGGAUGAUCAGUCACACUGGAACUGAGACACGGUCCAGACUCCUACGGGAGGCAGCAGUGGGGAAUAUUGGACAAUGGGCGAAAGCCUGACCCAGCCAUGCCGCGUGUGUGAAGAAGGUCUUCGGAUUGUAAAGCACUUUAAGUUGGGAGGAAGGGCAGUAAGUUAAUACCUUGCUGUUUUGACGUUACCAACAGAAUAAGCACCGGCUAACUUCGUG
Molecule: ribosomal RNA, 483 nt
Filed under: uncultured bacterium
Lineage: Bacteria
Description: partial 16S ribosomal RNA
Rfam family: Bacterial small subunit ribosomal RNA
Source: RNAcentral